UUGGCAGCUCUGGUGAUCAGUCCUCAGCUUAUUUACAGAGAAGCAGCAGGUCAGUCUUCCUGCGCACGCUCCCUGGCUAGCAUACCUGAGUCCUGAUCAGGGAAGGGACUUCCUCUGUGUAACCACAGAGACAGUUCAGUCUCCAUAGCCUAUGCAGCCCUUGGCCUCU
Molecule: small RNA, 169 nt
Filed under: Gopherus agassizii (Agassiz's desert tortoise)
Lineage: Eukaryota; Metazoa; Chordata; Testudines; Testudinidae
Description: TUC338 (ENSGAGG00000015156.1)
Source: RNAcentral